AAAACCGUCGAUCCGAAGCUUCAUCAACACCUCGAGGAGCUCGAUGGCGGGGAGUAUUUAUUUGCAUUUCAAAUGCUGAUGGUAGUUUUCCGAAGAGGGUUCUCCUUCGUCGAUUCGUUGUAUCUUUGGGUGGUAAUGUGGGCAAUGGAGUACAACCCUAAUAUUUUCUUGACAUAGGAGACGGCCGAUUCAUCCUCCGAU
Molecule: long non-coding RNA, 201 nt
Organism: Hibiscus syriacus
Lineage: Eukaryota; Viridiplantae; Streptophyta; Magnoliopsida; Malvales; Malvaceae
Exons: 3
Source: RefSeq, a predicted model, not a curated record